CGUCAGCUCUGUGUAGGGCAACGAUUCUCCGAGUUGAAUAACACGUACAGCUAACGUAACGGAUUAUUCCGAGUAAGCCAUGCAAAACACGCCCGCUUGCUGUGAGUCCAUAUGGUUUCCUAGGCCUAUUGCUGGUUAGUAAGGACGAAAGCACCCAGCAGCUUGAGUCAUGCCAAUCCACUUGCAUGUUAUUUUCAAAGAAAACUACAAACAUGAUAACAGAGGUUGCAUUGGGUACUCGAGGAUUUCUUAAAACUGGACUAAUGACUUCUGAUGUGUUUGAUCAAACGAAGAGAUAACUCAAUACUUCUCCUUAGCUACAGAGCUGUUUCUGACAGUGAACCCGCGUCAAUUGAGUAAUGGCAGUUUUUUGCGGGGAACGCAGUGAGUCGGGAAUAGAACUUUACAUGAAUUUACUGACGUCAGUUCAUCAAGAGUGCGAGCAUCGCUUCAUGUUUUGUUGCUGUGCAACACUGUUGUCUAAUUGCCAGAGAAAACUACAUAAUUUAUGCUUGGGAAGAUAUUACAAGUGGUGCUAAAGAGCCAAAAGUAAACAAAGAAGACAGGAAGUUAUUUAAGUAUGGACAAGAUUGACGAGGAUUUUAGACGCUAUUAUUUAAAAAAUGUCCGGCCAUAUUUCUUUAAAACAUCCAGAAACCUAGACAUACAGCUCAUUUGAUGAUAAAUUGAAAAAAGGACUCGAUUUUAGGAAAGUCUACCUUCGAAGCUCUAACAAUACUGGGCGAAUUGCGCAUCGAAUUAAUUUGGUUAUCAGUUUUCAAGUAAAAUAGAAUCAAGUUUGGUUUAAAACAAAAUUGUUCUCGUAAAGAGGUUCACGUGAUGACUUAAAGGAACUUUCGAAAGUGGAAAUAUCAAGUGGCAACACAAACAAGGGCGCAAAACUAGGAACUCAAGAUUGUUUGUACU
Molecule: long non-coding RNA, 927 nt
Organism: Stylophora pistillata
Lineage: Eukaryota; Metazoa; Cnidaria; Anthozoa; Scleractinia; Pocilloporidae
Source: RefSeq, a predicted model, not a curated record